GCGCAGCAGUCGAGAAUCUUUAGCAAUGCCCGAAAAGGGUGACUAUGCGACGCCGCGUGAGCGAUGAAGUCCUUCGGGACGUAAAGCUCUGUCAGGUGGGAUGAAUUUUUCGACCUUAACAGGGUUGGAAUUUGACCGUACCACCAGAGGAAGCCACGGCUAACUCCGUGCCAGCAGCCGCGGUAAUACGGAGGUGGCAAGCGUUGUUCGGAUUUAUUGGGUGUAAAGGGCAUGUAGGUGUCCUAGUAA
Molecule: ribosomal RNA, 249 nt
Filed under: uncultured microorganism
Description: partial 16S ribosomal RNA
Rfam family: Bacterial small subunit ribosomal RNA
Source: RNAcentral